This 1256-nucleotide long non-coding RNA is filed under the name Homo sapiens (human). RNAcentral's name for it is "HSALNT0364204". The record is from RNAcentral. Lineage: Eukaryota; Metazoa; Chordata; Mammalia; Primates; Hominidae.
UAUAAGGCUUGUUUAGAAUGCAAGGCUUCCUCAAUUCUCCACCCUUCCCCUCUUGACAUCUUGCUCUUCUUCCCUUCAUCUAUUGUGUUAGUCAGGUGCAUGCUGGUCUUCCCUCUAUCAAACUGUAAGCUACUUGGAGACUUGGGAUGCCUCACUCAUCUCUAUUCCCAAACCUCAGGGUCUAUCAUUCUACCUUCUGUAUAGACAGGACUUUCAUAGUUUUGAACAAGUCAGAACCUGAAAGAAUUUGCUUCCAGAACAGGACAUUGACAGGAAAAUUAAGCAUGAUCAUGCCGAGUAAAAUAGGAAUAAGAAUUGGACCUACCUCAAGAUCUGUUGAGAAGAUUAUGAGAGAGCUGAUGGAUCUAAAAGAUUGGCGCUUGAUAGAAUUGGGAUCAUUUGUUUUGACUAGAACAAUCUCUUGCAGCUUGGAUGGAGAAACUUUACAGAGGUUUCAGCCAAACACUCAUGAAUUCUUUAAUGUGUGAAAUAAAGAGCUAAAAUAAUAUCUAAGUUUCCUCUUUGCCUGACGCCAUCCAUGCAAAAUGUGACUUGCUUCUUCAGCAGCAGCAUGAAAACAAACUAAUACACCACUAUUCCUAGUUUGUACAACGAAAGGCUAAAAAUUUGGGAGAUGCAGGAUGACUGAAGCCCGAUUCUGGGGGUUGUUACAGCACAGUUACAGGGCCUUCCUCACACCCAUGUCUUCAGAUACCCAAGGCCUUUAAUACCCAAGUCCUUCCAGGAUUCUGCACAUCUCAUUAGCUUCAUAUUCCCAUAUCAUAGUGCCUCAGAUCCCCUUUCAAGACUGAAAGACUUUCUACUCCAGAUGCCAUUGGCUGAAGACAGCUUCUAUUCAAACAGGGAAAUGGCCUGUCUGCAACAUGCAGCCUUUAUUCUUAUCUGCAUGGCAUACUCCUUCUCCUUCUUUAAAAUUUGAUAAUUUGCUGUAUUAUCAGUGUCUGAUGAUGUUGACAAUGUUGAAGAAGAAGAAAGAAGAGGAGUUGGAGGAGGAGGAAGAAAACAUCCAGAGCAUUCAAUUUAUUCUAGUUAAAUUACUAACCAGAAAGAGAAUGCCCUCGGAAGUCUACUUUAUAAUGCUGUUUGGUUCUAAGUAAAGAGCAUCUAAUAGGGAGACAUGUAAAUCCUGUUUCCAAAACACACUUAGAGGAUUACAGCAUGUGAAAGAUUUGCUCCCUACCUGGCUCAGAGCUACGAAGGUCACAUUGGCUGUCAAAGGACAUGUCUUCUGGCUA